Long non-coding RNA from Bufo bufo (common toad), 152 nucleotides. RefSeq lists it as uncharacterized. The record is from RefSeq and is a predicted model, not a curated record. Lineage: Eukaryota; Metazoa; Chordata; Amphibia; Anura; Bufonidae. The transcript is spliced from 3 exons.
UUCUGGCAUUUGUGAAAAUACAUUUUAAAUUACUAUUCAAUUUCUCACAAUCAGUUCCCAUAAAGUGAAUGUUUGUGAUAUUAUUGGGGUACCUUGGUUGAUAUUGUUGGUAUGUAACAGGUCCAUGUUACCAGUAGCUCAGUGUACAGUUC